GAUGAACGCUGGCGGCGUGCCUAAUACAUGCAAGUCGAGCGAACAGACGAGGAGCUUGCUCCUCUGACGUUAGCGGCGGACGGGUGAGUGACACGUGGAUAACCUACCUAUAAGACUGGGAUAACUUCGGGAAACCGGAGCUAAUACCGGAUAAUAUAUUGAACCGCAUGGUUCAAUAGUGAAAGACGGUUUUGCUGUCACUUAUAGAUGGAUCCGCGCCGCAUUAGCUAGUUGGUAAGGUAACGGCUUACCAAGGCAACGAUGCGUAGCCGACCUGAGAGGGUGAUCGGCCACACUGGAACUGAGACACGGUCCAGACUCCUACGGGAGGCAGCAGUAGGGAAUCUUCCGCAAUGGGCGAAAGCUUGACGGAGCAACGCCGCGUGAGUGAUGAAGGUCUUCGGAUCGUAAAACUCUGUUAUUAGGGAAGAACAAAUGUGUAAGUAACUAUGCACGUCUUGACGGUACCUAAGCAGAAAGCCACGGCUACUACGUG
Molecule: ribosomal RNA, 496 nt
Filed under: uncultured bacterium
Lineage: Bacteria
Description: partial 16S ribosomal RNA
Rfam family: Bacterial small subunit ribosomal RNA
Source: RNAcentral